Molecule: ribosomal RNA, 408 nt
Filed under: uncultured bacterium
Lineage: Bacteria
Description: partial 16S ribosomal RNA
Rfam family: Bacterial small subunit ribosomal RNA
Source: RNAcentral
GACGAACGCUGGCGGCGGGCCUAAUACAUGCAAGUCGAGCGAAGCGGCGGAUGGGUGAGUAACGCGUGGGUAACCUGACCUUAAGUCUGGGGUAGCAUUUGGAAACCGAUGCUAAUACCGGAUACUAAAGGAUGGAGCUGCGAUGCAUUAGCUAGUUGGUAAGGUAACGGCUUACCAAGGCGAUGAUGCAUAGCCGAGGUGAGAGACUGAUCGGCCACACUGGGACUGAGACACGGCCCAAACUCCUACGGGAGGCAGCAGUAGGGAAUCUUCCACAAUGGACGAAAGUCUGAUGGAGCAACGCCGCGUGAGUGAAGAAGGUUUUCGGAUCGUAAAGCUCUGUUGUUGGUGAAGCGGUAAUCAACCAGAAAGUCACGGCUAACUACGUGCCAGCAGCCGCGGUAAUUC